GCCGUGUCCUACUCAGAGAAGUGUCGGUUGCUUGGGUUACACAUAACCGAGGCCUCUCUGGGUAGAGUAAGGCU
Heterocephalus glaber (naked mole-rat) is the source of this 74-nucleotide non-coding RNA. Lineage: Eukaryota; Metazoa; Chordata; Mammalia; Rodentia; Bathyergidae. The record is from Rfam.